CUCCUAUAGAAAAUUAUUAUAGGUAAGCCCUGCCCUAUGUUUUUAUAAAUGGCCGCAGUACCCUGACUGUGCUAAGGUAGCAUAAUAAUUUGUCUUUUAAUUAAAGACUUGAAUGAAAGGGUAAACAAAUUAGAGACUGUUUCAUAAAAACAAAUAAAAACUUUACUUUUGGUGAAAAUACCAAAAUUUAUAUAAAGGACAAGAAGACCCUGUGGAGCUUUUAAUUUUAAUUUUAGUUGGGGCGACUAAGGAAACCAAAUAACUUCCUUUAUUUAAAAGACAAACAAGUCAUAAUCUUAACCUACAGGAAAUAGAAAAUAGCUACCCCAGGGUUAACAGGCUUAAAUUCUUUAAGAGUCCAUAUUGACAAGACUAUUUGGCACCUCGAUGUUGGCUUAGUAAAUCUCUUUAUCGCAACAGAUAAAAAAGAAGGUUUGUUCACCCUUUAAUAUACUACGUGAUCU
Molecule: ribosomal RNA, 464 nt
Filed under: Trilobodrilus axi
Lineage: Eukaryota; Metazoa; Annelida; Polychaeta; Dinophilidae
Description: partial large subunit ribosomal RNA
Rfam family: Bacterial large subunit ribosomal RNA
Source: RNAcentral